GCUAUUCGUUGUCCAGAUGAGCUUUUUAAAUGAAGCUGCUAUAGAUCCUUCUCCACAACACUAGAGGUUUCCUCCAGAUUGGCCAUUUGUGUUACUGACAGCAUCCCUGGUCCUGAAGCAGAAGAGAAUACCAUGCAGUUGAAAUGAUGUGAGAAGCAGAAAGCAGAAAUGGAUCAAGAAAUUUAGGAUGAUUAUUUCAAGGGACAAAAUCAUAAUGAGUUUAGUAUGUAACCCAAAUCCUGGAUUGCUAUAUAACAGUUAUUGGUUGUGAUCUUAAUUUUCUUGUCUGAAACAAUGAUGAUGAUGAUGAUGAUACCUACUUCUGGAUGUUGUAACUCCAUCCAUUAAAUGGUGAUACUAAUGAAGCCUACGUCAUAGAAUUGUCUAACAUCUUUACUGUGAGAUGCAGUUUUGAUGCCAGUUGUCAGAAAAAUGUGCCCCACCUUUUUUUCCCUCUUUUAAGCAAUUUCAAGAAAUAAAUCCCUGGAAAUACAUACUUUAGAUAGACACAAUGACCAGAACUGAUACUGGUGCUUCCAUCACCAGGAAAGUAGCUGAGAGAUACUGUUACUAGUUCCUGUUUCCCAAUCACUGGCACUACUUUUGUUCCUUCCCUUUAUUGACCUUGUUCUUUGGCUUUUCCUUUGUUUUUCUCAGCUAUGCCAUAUUCCUCCAAUAAAUUCCUUUUGUUUGUUGAA
Molecule: long non-coding RNA, 698 nt
Organism: Canis lupus familiaris (dog)
Lineage: Eukaryota; Metazoa; Chordata; Mammalia; Carnivora; Canidae
Exons: 6
Source: RefSeq, a predicted model, not a curated record